AUGUCGCAAGGAGAGCAAGCACAAUCACGAGCAACGGGGAGCUUGGCUGCUGUUCUCCUCGUAGGGAUCCUGCUCCAGCUCGCCGGCUGCAGCCCUCCACCGGAUCCGGUGACCUGCACGCAUGGCACGUCCAACUGCACGGUCACCAACACGUACGGCUCCUUCACGGACCGCACCAUCUGCCACGCGGCCAACGUCGUCUACCCGAGCACCGAGCAGGAGCUGGUCGCGGCCGUGGCGGCCGCGGCGUCGGCCAAACGCAAGAUGAAGGUGGCCACCAAGCACUCACACAGCGGCCCCAAGCUGGCGUGCCCCGGCGGCAGCCAGGGCACCAUCAUAAGCACCGCACGGCUGAACCGGACGGUUCGCAUCGACGCCGAGAGGCAGCUCAUCACGGUGGAGAGCGGCAUGGUACUCCGGGACCUGAUCCAGGCCGCUGCCGCACCGGGGCUGUCACUGCCGCACUCGCCGUACUGGUACGGCCUAACCAUCGGCGGGCUCCUCGCGACGGGCGCGCAUGGGAGCGGGCUGUGGGGCAAGGGAGGCGCCGUGCACGAGUACGUGGUCGGUCUGAGGAUCGUGACGCCGGCGCCGGCGUGUCACGGGUUCGCCAUGGUGAGGGAGCUCGCCGCCGAUCACCCGGACCUGGACGCCGCCAAGGUCUCCCUUGGGGUCCUCGGCGUUGUCUCCCAGGUGACUCUGGCCCUGCAGCCGCUGUUCAAGCGGUCAGUGACGUUCGUGAGGCGCAACGACUCGGACUUCACGGCACGGGUGGCCGAGUGGGGCCGUCUUCACGAGUUCGCCGACAUGAUAUGGCUGCCGCAGCACGGCAGCGUCAUCUACCGCCAGGACGACCGCGUCGACGUCGCGACACCCGGGAAUGGGCUCAGCGAUCUGGCCCUUUUUCGUUCCAACCCCACAGCCCUGCUUGUCCGCGUAAGAGCCGCAGAGGAGCGGCUGCAGGAGAACGGCACUGACAUCGCCCGGUGCGCGGCGGAGCAGGAGGCGGCCACGAGACAGCUGCCGGCCUUGGGCUUCACGAACGACGGCGUCUCCUUCACGGGGUACCCGAUUGUGGGGUACCAGCAUCGCAUCCAGGCGUCCGGCUCAUGCAUCGAUGGCCCAGAGGAUGGCCUCCUCUCCUCCUGCGCCUGGGACCCGCGCAUCCGAGGUACCUUCCUGUACAACUCCGGCUUCAGCGUCCCACUCUCUAAGGUGUCGGCAUUCGUCGCCGACAUGCAACGGCUCCGGGACCUCAAACCGGCCGCGUUUUGUGCCCUCCUUCGUGCGGGUGUUGUCCUCCGCUACGUCAAGGCGUCCUCCGCGUACGUCGGCAAGCCCGAGGACUCUGUUGACGUCGACAUCAUCUUCUACCGCAGCCACACCGACGGCAUGCCGCGCGCCCACGCCGACGUGCUGGACGAGAUUGAGCAGAUGGCGUUGGGUAAGUACGGCGGCCUGCCGCACUGGGGUAAGAACCGCAACUUCGCCUUCGACGGUGUCAUCGCAAGGUACCCGAAAGCCCAUAAGUUCCUUAAGGUAAAGAAUAUGUACGACCCCGACGGGCUCUUCUCCAGCGAGUGGACCGACCAAGUGCUCGGCGUCAACGGGACCCCCAACAUCAUUAAAAAGCGUUGCGCCAUUGAAGGACUAUGUGUCUGCUCUGACGACUUGCACUGUGCGCCAGAACAGGGGUACUUCUGCCGGCCAGGGAAGGUUUACACGAAGGCAAGAGUUUGCUCCUCCACCGAGGAUUAUUAG
This 1761-nucleotide ribosomal RNA is filed under the name Triticum aestivum (bread wheat). Its description in RNAcentral is "partial small subunit ribosomal RNA". The record is from RNAcentral. Lineage: Eukaryota; Viridiplantae; Streptophyta; Magnoliopsida; Poales; Poaceae.